This 468-nucleotide ribosomal RNA is filed under the name uncultured bacterium. Its description in RNAcentral is "partial 16S ribosomal RNA". It matches the Rfam family "Bacterial small subunit ribosomal RNA", at positions 28 to 507 of the family's 1533-position model. The record is from RNAcentral.
GACGAACGCUGGCGGCGUGCUUAACACAUGCAAGUCGAACGGAAAGGCCCUUCUUUUGUUGGUUGCUCUAGUUGCGAACGGGUGAGUAACACGUGAGUAGCCUACCCUUGCCUUUUGGAUAACUUCACGAAACUGGGGCUAAUCCCGGAUAGGAGCUUCUGCUGCAUGGUGGGGGUUGGACAGUUUCGGCGGUUGGGUCUGGACUUGCGGCGUUUCAGCUUGUUGGUGGGGUAGUGGCUUACCAAGGCUUGGACGGGUAGACGGCCUGAGCGGGUGACAGGCAACACUGGGACUGAGAUAGGGCCCAGAAUCCGACGGGAGGCAGCAGUGGGGAAUAGUGCAAAAUGGGCGGAAGGCGGAAGCAGCAACGGCGCGUGCGGGAUGAAGGUCUUCGGGUUGUAAACCGGGUUCGCCUGGGACGAAGCGUGAGUGACGGUAAUGGGUAAAGAAGCACCGGCUAACUACGUG